Molecule: ribosomal RNA, 271 nt
Filed under: uncultured prokaryote
Description: partial 16S ribosomal RNA
Rfam family: Bacterial small subunit ribosomal RNA
Source: RNAcentral
UAUGGAGGAUCCGAGCGUUAUCCGGAUUUAUUGGGUUUAAAGGGUGCGCAGGCGGGGGAUUAAGUCGGCGGUGAAAUUUUGCAGCUCAACUGUAAAAGUGCCUUCGAAACUGGUUUCCUUGAGUGUAGAUGAAGUAGGCGGAAUUUGUGGUGUAGCGGUGAAAUGCAUAGAUAUCACGAGGAACUCCGAUUGCGCAGGCAGCUUACUAAACUACUACUGACGCUCAGGCACGAAGGCGUGGGGAUCAAACAGGAUUAGAUACCCCGGUAGU